RNAcentral lists this ribosomal RNA (1020 nucleotides) under Pediococcus pentosaceus. Its description in RNAcentral is "partial 16S ribosomal RNA". The stretch from base 1 to 838 matches the Rfam family "Bacterial small subunit ribosomal RNA", at positions 37 to 873 of the family's 1533-position model. The record is from RNAcentral. Lineage: Bacteria; Bacillati; Bacillota; Bacilli; Lactobacillales; Lactobacillaceae.
UGGCGGCGUGCCUAAUACAUGCAAGUCGAACGAACUUCCGUUAAUUGAUUAUGACGUACUUGUACUGAUUGAGAUUUUAACACGAAGUGAGUGGCGAACGGGUGAGUAACACGUGGGUAACCUGCCCAGAAGUAGGGGAUAACACCUGGAAACAGAUGCUAAUACCGUAUAACAGAGAAAACCGCAUGGUUUUCUUUUAAAAGAUGGCUCUGCUAUCACUUCUGGAUGGACCCGCGGCGUAUUAGCUAGUUGGUGAGGUAAAGGCUCACCAAGGCAGUGAUACGUAGCCGACCUGAGAGGGUAAUCGGCCACAUUGGGACUGAGACACGGCCCAGACUCCUACGGGAGGCAGCAGUAGGGAAUCUUCCACAAUGGACGCAAGUCUGAUGGAGCAACGCCGCGUGAGUGAAGAAGGGUUUCGGCUCGUAAAGCUCUGUUGUUAAAGAAGAACGUGGGUAAGAGUAACUGUUUACCCAGUGACGGUAUUUAACCAGAAAGCCACGGCUAACUACGUGCCAGCAGCCGCGGUAAUACGUAGGUGGCAAGCGUUAUCCGGAUUUAUUGGGCGUAAAGCGAGCGCAGGCGGUCUUUUAAGUCUAAUGUGAAAGCCUUCGGCUCAACCGAAGAAGUGCAUUGGAAACUGGGAGACUUGAGUGCANAANANGACAGUGGAACUCCAUGUGUAGCGGUGAAAUGCGUANAUAUAUGGAAGAACACCAGUGGCGAAGGCGGCUGUCUGGUCUGCAACUGACNCUGANGCUCGAAGCAUGGGUAGCGAACAGGAUUAAAUACCUGGUAGUCNUGCGUAACGAUGAUUCUAAUGUUGGAGGNUUCCGCCUNCAUGCUGCACUAACCAUAAGUAUCCCCUGGGAUCCACNCAGGUGAACUCAAAAAUGCGGGCCCCNANCGNGACUGGNUUAUCNACUCNNAAACUACGGCUGNUUNUGAACUAAAUAAGUCCUCGGAAANANGGGCAGUUCCCCNCGCNGAUNGUANCCNCNCNCUUUUUUCCUUUUGCCU